CAGUCGCCGCGGGAAUACGGAGAGUGCAAGCGUUAAUCGGAAUUACUGGGCGUAAAGCGCACGCAGGCGGUCUGUCAAGUCAGAUGUGAAAUCCCCGGGCUUAACCUGGGAACUACAUUUGAAACUGGCAGGCUAGAGUCUUGUAGAGGGGGGUGGAAUUCCAGGUGUAGCGGUGAAAUGCGUAGAGAUCUGGAGGAAUACCGGUGGCGAAGGCGGCAACCUGGUCCUUGACUGACGCUGAGGCGCGAAAGCGUGGGGAGCAAACAGGAUUAGAUACCCGGGUAGUCCCUGUCUCUUAUAA
This 301-nucleotide ribosomal RNA is filed under the name uncultured bacterium. RNAcentral's name for it is "partial 16S ribosomal RNA". It matches the Rfam family "Bacterial small subunit ribosomal RNA", at positions 509 to 809 of the family's 1533-position model. The record is from RNAcentral.